UUGGAUAAAAGGUCUUAAGGGAAGCC
Molecule: non-coding RNA, 26 nt
Filed under: Cricetulus griseus (Chinese hamster)
Lineage: Eukaryota; Metazoa; Chordata; Mammalia; Rodentia; Cricetidae
Source: RNAcentral